GUUUAACAGAGUGGCUGUACAGUUUUGCAUUCCAGGAAUGGGUCAGAGUUUCAGCUGCUCUACAUCCUCACCAACACGUGGCAUUGAUGAAGAUGUUUUGCAAUAACUGGAACAUUCCAACCACCAGACCAGAAAAGCCCUGAUAGCAAUGGAAUGCCUAGAAGACUGCGCCCUGCACAUCCCAUUCCCUGCCCAUGAUCAGGGGCUGAACACUUAUUGACUGACACCUAUGAUAACUGCUCUCUUGCCCAGACCCCACUGAACCUCUCCUGUAAAAUUCUAGGUGCCCAUCUUGCUGGGAGAGAGGUCAGAUGUUAAGGUUUGAGCCUGCCACUUCCUCCAGAUGCUGGCACCCAAAAUAAAUUUCUCCCCCCUUUUUUUUCCAAA
Long non-coding RNA from Suricata suricatta (meerkat), 387 nucleotides. RefSeq lists it as uncharacterized. The record is from RefSeq and is a predicted model, not a curated record. NCBI's taxonomy places the organism in Eukaryota, Metazoa, Chordata, Mammalia, Carnivora, Herpestidae. The transcript is spliced from 2 exons.